This 305-nucleotide ribosomal RNA is filed under the name uncultured bacterium. RNAcentral's name for it is "bacterial SSU rRNA". It matches the Rfam family "Bacterial small subunit ribosomal RNA", at positions 334 to 632 of the family's 1533-position model. The record is from RNAcentral.
GAGCCUACGGGACGCAGCAGUCGAGAAUCAUUCACAAUGGGGGAAACCCUGAUGGAGCAACGCCGCGUGGGUGAAGAAGGUCUUCGGAUCGUAAAACCCUGUUGUUAGAGAAGAAAGUGCGUGAGAGUAACUGUUCACGUUUCGACGGUAUCUAACCAGAAAGCCACGGCUAACUACGUGCCAGCAGCCGCGGUAAUACGUAGGUGGCAAGCGUUAUCCGGAUUUAUUGGGCGUAAAGGGAACGCAGGCGGUCUUUUAAGUCUGUUGUGAAAGCCUUCGGCUUAACAGGAGUAGUGCAUUGGAAA